AGCCUUGGAUUAACCUUUAACAAAUGAAGCUUUAGUUGCCACAGAGCCUCAAGAAUGUUUCCCUGUGAUGAAUGUGUCUGUCUGUGUGUAUUCGCGCGGACCCUGGGGGCUGGGAGAGUCACACUGUGGUCGGAACGACCCCUAGGAAGCCAGCUCGACUGAACUGACCAUGUUAAGAUAUUAGGAACGAUUUCCAGGGCCCAGAGCCCCCUGAUGGCCCUCUGCCACUAAACUACCAAAUACAGAGAAAACUAUUUCUCCGGCAAUAUAAAUACUAGACACAUCCAAACAGCAGAAUAGCCCCCAAAAGAUUUCUUUGUAAAUGGUCAUCUACUUAAAAAUUGAAUGAUGGCUUGCCGUGGGUCAUGGCAUUGUUGGGGGUGAUGAUAUGACUGAGCAGCUGGUGUUGUCAUGGAAACAAAUUUACAUAACACAGACAGGAGAAAAUGGAUCAAAUACGCCCCUCUUUCAUGUUGUGAAUAUCUCAUCAAUGCUAUGAAAUGAGACUGACUUACUGUUUAGAAAAAGUCCAGAUGUACAAGCUUGAAGAGAAUUUGGAAGAAUUUAAAGGAAAACCCGUAGAAAGAAUAGAUAAUACUGCAGGAUCUUUCCAAAUUCUCAUUCCAUCGCUCUUUGGUUUUGUUGGAUGAAAUUACAGCAGAACUUCCUAUGUCAUUUUGCCAUGCUGCUCCGUAGAUCAACAGGAAUUUUGAUUAACUAUGAUUUUUAUAAUGACGGCUUUGAGGAUCUUGUAAAGAAAUGUGCAAUGCAAAUUUGUAUUUUGUUUGGUGUGGUUAGAUUGGAUAAAGUUUGAAUUAUGUUUAGUCUUUAACAGAGUGUAAUGUUAUGAAAUUUUUUUUAAUUUUCAGGUACGUGUAGAAUUUUAUGAUCGACACAAAAUGACACUUCCAGAUUCAGUGUCCACAUCAUUGACUCCAGGAAAAUCUGUUCAUCUGACUCUACACGUGCAGCCAGCGAACAGACGUCCAAAUCCCAAUGUUUCUUUGUUGAGCACGGGCUCACGCUGUAGCGGAACCCUCGGAGUAUGGGCUGGUGCCACGGGGAAGCCAUCUUCCAGGAAGAGAAAGACAAGAUGGGUGGAGCAAGCCGCUAGGAAAGCUCUUCUCUCUGGCUCAGUGUUCUGUAGAAGAUGGAAGUAAAAUGGGCGCAUGUGGACUCUGCCGUUAGCCUGCCUGGGACUUUGUGACCGUCAGUCACCGUGGCGACUGUGACCAGUUAGGCCACAAGAACACAGCAGCCUCCCCAGCUCCCGCGCACCUUCAGAUGCACCCAUUCACGCAGCAAAGUGGACGUGCCUGCCCAGACAGCCGGAGUGAAGAUAGUUACUGGGCCCGGGGGAGAAAAGCCCCACCAUCUCUGGGACAUUGUCGCAGGCCUGUGGGAACCCUCUGGCAACCACAUUUCUACUUUCUGGCUCUAAGAAUGUGACCACUCCAGGUGCCUCGGUCCAAGGUGAAAGUUCCAGAGGCAGGCUGCUCUGACCCACUGCUGUUUAAGGACACAGGUUCCUUGUAAAUCUUUGCUCUGUCCUCCGCCGUCGCUGACUCCCCGGAAUACUUGUCAUCUGCACGGUUGAAGGUGGUUAUGCGCACAUCCAAGUUCAAGGUACCAACAAAAAGAAGAGAAUCCGUGUUGGAAAGGAACUUGAAAGAUUAUCUGAUCAUCUCUGCCUUCACGCAAGUGUAUUUAUUGUAAGCUAAUGAAUGAAGACGUGCAGGUAUAUACUCAGAUGUGACUGAGGUUAGACCACGGGCAGCUGGUGAAGUGAAGAUGAGACAGAAUCAUACUGCCUGGGUUCACGAUCCAGAAAUCCAAUAUUUACCUAUUUCAAUAAUAAUCAUGCUGUGGGGAAGAGGGCGCAAACUCACGAUGCAGAUUUCCAUCAAACAGAAUGACAACUGCUAGAAUUACUUUAGUCUAAAGAGUGCGUUUCAGGGGCGCCUGGGUGGCUCAGUCGGUUAAGCAGCCGACUUUGGCUCAGGUCAUGAUCUCGUG
Molecule: long non-coding RNA, 2016 nt
Organism: Leopardus geoffroyi (Geoffroy's cat)
Lineage: Eukaryota; Metazoa; Chordata; Mammalia; Carnivora; Felidae
Exons: 6
Source: RefSeq, a predicted model, not a curated record